RNAcentral lists this ribosomal RNA (484 nucleotides) under uncultured bacterium. RNAcentral's name for it is "partial 16S ribosomal RNA". It matches the Rfam family "Bacterial small subunit ribosomal RNA", at positions 30 to 507 of the family's 1533-position model. The record is from RNAcentral.
AUUGAACGCUGGCGGAAUGCUUUACACAUGCAAGUCGAACGGCAGCACGGGGGCAACCCUGGUGGCGAGUGGCGAACGGGUGAGUAAUACAUCGGAACGUGCCCGGUCGUGGGGGAUAACGUAGCGAAAGUUACGCUAAUACCGCAUACGAUCUGAGGAUGAAGGCGGGGGACCUUCGGGCCUCGCGCGAUCGGAGCGGCCGAUGUCAAAUUAGGUAGUUGGUGGGGUAAAGGCCUACCAAGCCGACGAUCUGUAGCUGGUCUGAGAGGACGACCAGCCACACUGGGACUGAGACACGGCCCAGACUCCUACGGGAGGCAGCAGUGGGGAAUUUUGGACAAUGGGCGCAAGCCUGAUCCAGCCAUUCCGCGUGCAGGACGAAGGCCUUCGGGUUGUAAACUGCUUUUGUAUGGAACGAAAAGGCUCUGGCUAAUACCUGGGGCUCAUGACGGUACCGUAAGAAUAAGCACCGGCUAACUACGUG